GCCUCGUUAGCGCAGGCGGUAGCGCGUCAGUCUAGUAAACUGAAGCUCGUGAGUUCAACCCUCACACGGGGCU
Molecule: non-coding RNA, 73 nt
Organism: Syngnathus acus (greater pipefish)
Lineage: Eukaryota; Metazoa; Chordata; Actinopteri; Syngnathiformes; Syngnathidae
Source: the annotation of a RefSeq genome assembly